AUUGAACGCUGGCGGCACGCUUAACACAUGCAAGUCGAGCGGUAACAUGGUUAGUAGCAAUACUAAUUGAUGACGAGCGGCGGACGGGUGAGUAACACGUAGGAACCUGCCCAGAAGCGGGGGACAACCAAGGGAAACUUUGGCUAAUACCGCGUAAUCUCGGGAGAGUAAAGCUGCCCGCAAGGGUGGCGCUUCUGGAGGGGCCUGCGUCCGAUUAGCUAGUUGGUGAGGUAAUGGCUCACCAAGGCUGUGAUCGGUAACUGGUCUGAGAGGACGACCAGUAACACUGGGACUGAGACACGGCCCAGACUCCUACGGGAGGCAGCAGUGGGGAAUCUUGGACAGUGGGGGCAACCCUGAUCCAGCGAUGCCGCGUGGGUGAAGAAGGCCUUCGGGUUGUAAAGCCCUUUAGGUUGGGAAGAAGUUCAUAGGCUGAAUAGUCUUAUGGAUUGACGGUACCAACAGAAUAAGCACCGGCAAACUCUGUGCCAGCCGCCGCGGUAA
RNAcentral lists this ribosomal RNA (504 nucleotides) under uncultured bacterium. RNAcentral's name for it is "partial 16S ribosomal RNA". It matches the Rfam family "Bacterial small subunit ribosomal RNA", at positions 30 to 523 of the family's 1533-position model. The record is from RNAcentral.